RNAcentral lists this ribosomal RNA (448 nucleotides) under uncultured organism. RNAcentral's name for it is "partial 16S ribosomal RNA". It matches the Rfam family "Bacterial small subunit ribosomal RNA", at positions 335 to 801 of the family's 1533-position model. The record is from RNAcentral.
ACUCCUGCGGGAGGCAGCAGUGGGGAAUAUUGGACAAUGGGCGCAAGCCUGAUCCAGCCAUGCCGCGUGAGUGAUGAAGGCCCUAGGGUUGUAAAGCUCUUUCACCGGUGAAGAUAAUGACGGUAACCGGAGAAGAAGCCCCGGCUAACUUCGUGCCAGCAGCCGCGGUAAUACGAAGGGGGCUAGCGUUGUUCGGAUUUACUGGGCGUAAAGCGCACGUAGGCGGACUAUUAAGUCAGGGGUGAAAUCCCGGGGCUCAACCCCGGAACUGCCUUUGAUACUGGUAGUCUUGAGUUCGAGAGAGGUGAGUGGAAUUCCGAGUGUAGAGGUGAAAUUCGUAGAUAUUCGGAGGAACACCAGUGGCGAAGGGCUCACUGGCUCGAUACUGACGCUGAGGUGCGAAAGCGUGGGGAGCAAACAGGAUUAGAUACCCGAGUAGUCCCAUGAU